UGAAAAGCCCGCUCGCCGGAAGACCAAGGGUUCCUGUCCAACGUUAAUCGGGGCAGGGUGAGUCGACCCCUAAGGCGAGGCCGAAAGGCGUAGUCGAUGGGAAACGGGUUAAUAUUCCCGUACUUGGUGUUACUGCGAAGGGGGGACGGAGAAGGCUAUGUUGGCCGGGCGACGGUUGUCCCGGUUUAAGCGUGUAGGUGUGUGUUCCAGGUAAAUCCGGUUCACUUUAACACUGAGGCGUGACGACGAGGCACUACGGUGCUGAAGCAACAAAUGCCCUGCUUCCAGGAAAAGCCUCUAAGCAUCAGGUAACACGAAAUCGUACCCCAAACCGACACAGGUGGUCAGGUAGAGAAUACCAAGGCGCUUGAGAGAACUCGGGUGAAGGAACUAGGCAAAAUGGUGCCGUAACUUCGGGAGAAGGCACGCUGACACGUAGGUGAAGUGAUUUACUCAUGGAGCUGAAGUCAGUCGAAGAUACCAGCUGGCUGCAACUGUUUAUUAAAAACACAGCACUGUGCAAACACGAAAGUGGACGUAUACGGUGUGACGCCUGCCCGGUGCCGGAAGGUUAAUUGAUGGGGUCAGCGUAAGCGAAGCUCCUGAUCGAAGCCCCGGUAAACGGCGGCCGUAACUAUAACGGUCCUAAGGUAGCGAAAUUCCUUGUCGGGUAAGUUCCGACCUGCACGAAUGGCGUAAUGAUGGCCAGGCUGUCUCCACCCGAGACUCAGUGAAAUUGAACUCGCUGUGAAGAUGCAGUGUACCCGCGGCAAGACGGAAAGACCCCGUGAACCUUUACUAUAGCUUGACACUGAACAUUGAGCCUUGAUGUGUAGGAUAGGUGGGAGGCUUUGAAGUGUGGACGCCAGUCUGCAUGGAGCCGACCUUGAAAUACCACCCUUUAAUGUUUGAUGUUCUAACGUGGACCCGUAAUCCGGGUUGCGGACAGUGUCUGGUGGGUAGUUUGACUGGGGCGGUCUCCUCCUAAAGAGUAACGGAGGAGCACGAAGGUUGGCUAAUCCUGGUCGGACAUCAGGAGGUUAGUGCAAUGGCAUAAGCCAGCUUGACUGCGAGCGUGACGGCGCGAGCAGGUGCGAAAGCAGGUCAUAGUGAUCCGGUGGUUCUGAAUGGAAGGGCCAUCGCUCAACGGAUAAAAGGUACUCCGGGGAUAACAGGCUGAUACCGCCCAAGAGUUCAUAUCGACGGCGGUGUUUGGCACCUCGAUGUCGGCUCAUCACAUCCUGGGGCUGAAGUAGGUCCCAAGGGUAUGGCUGUUCGCCAUUUAAAGUGGUACGCGAGCUGGGUUUAGAACGUCGUGAGACAGUUCGGUCCCUAUCUGCCGUGGGCGCUGGAGAACUGAGGGGGGCUGCUCCUAGUACGAGAGGACCGGAGUGGACGCAUCACUGGUGUUCGGGUUGUCAUGCCAAUGGCACUGCCCGGUAGCUAAAUGCGGAAGAGAUAAGUGCUGAAAGCAUCUAAGCACGAAACUUGCCCCGA
This 1497-nucleotide ribosomal RNA is filed under the name Salmonella enterica. RNAcentral's name for it is "partial 23S ribosomal RNA". It matches the Rfam family "Bacterial large subunit ribosomal RNA", at positions 1322 to 2802 of the family's 2925-position model. Lineage: Bacteria; Pseudomonadati; Pseudomonadota; Gammaproteobacteria; Enterobacterales; Enterobacteriaceae. The record is from RNAcentral.